GAACGCUAGCUACAGGCUUAACACAUGCAAGUCGAGGGGCAGCAUGGUCUUAGCUUGCUAAGGCCGAUGGCGACCGGCGCACGGGUGAGUAACACGUAUCCAACCUGCCGUCUACUCUUGGACAGCCUUCUGAAAGGAAGAUUAAUACAAGAUGGCAUCAUGAGUCCGCAUGUUCACAUGAUUAAAGGUAUUCCGGUAGACGAUGGGGAUGCGUUCCAUUAGAUAGUAGGCGGGGUAACGGCCCACCUAGUCUUCGAUGGAUAGGGGUUCUGAGAGGAAGGUCCCCCACAUUGGAACUGAGACACGGUCCAAACUCCUACGGGAGGCAGCAGUGAGGAAUAUUGGUCAAUGGGCGAGAGCCUGAACCAGCCAAGUAGCGUGAAGGAUGACUGCCCUAUGGGUUGUAAACUUCUUUUAUAAAGGAAUAAAGUCGGGUAUGGAUACCCGUUUGCAUGUACUUUAUGAAUAAGGAUCGGCUAACUCCGUGCCAGCAGCCGCGGUAAUACGGAGGAUCCGAGCGUUAUCCGGAUUUAUUGGGUUUAAAGGGAGCGUAGAUGGAUGUUUAAGUCAGUUGUGAAAGUUUGCGGCUCAACCGUAAAAUUGCAGUUGAUACUGGAUAUCUUGAGUGCAGUUGAGGCAGGCGGAAUUCGUGGUGUAGCGGUGAAAUGCUUAGAUAUCACGAAGAACUCCGAUUGCGAAGGCAGCCUGCUAAGCUGCAACUGACAUUGAGGCUCGAAAGUGUGGGUAUCAAACAGGAUUAGAUACCCUGGUAGUCCACACGGUAAACGAUGAAUACUCGCUGUUUGCGAUAUACUGCAAGCGGCCAAGCGAAAAGCGUUAAGUAUUUCCCACCUGGGGAGUA
This 862-nucleotide ribosomal RNA is filed under the name uncultured organism. RNAcentral's name for it is "SSU rRNA". It matches the Rfam family "Bacterial small subunit ribosomal RNA", at positions 31 to 882 of the family's 1533-position model. The record is from RNAcentral.